CUUCUGGUCCCACCUACAGUGACCAGCUCGGUGUCUCGACCGGGGAGGAGCAGACGUUGGACAGGGGUGUGUGUCCAGCAGGGGACUGUCAGGCUUGGGGGUCUGGCCGCGCGUCCCACUGGGGAUCUCCCUGGGCCCGCUGACCUGACUGUAAUCCCUCCUGCUGGAGCUGGGGAGCUGUCUGUCAGGGCUCGGCCACCUUGACCCUGCCCCUCUGCUCUGGGUUUUGUGUGAACGUGAUGGUGGUGUGUACGUGUGUUUAAGUCUGAGGCACGUCCAGGCCCUUUGCUCGGAAACGGGCUGAGGGCCCGCACAGCCUGAAGCGCUUGGCUGGAAGGGCCCUGGGGGAAAGGUUUUAUUGAGACUUCCCUGUGAAUGGGCUUCCCGAAGCCCGAGGGACGCUGAACUUCCUGACUUUAGUGUUAGCUCAAAAUAUACUGCUUCAGACUCCCUGAUUACUGUUAUGAGUGGGGUCUCAGCGAAUGAAAGAAGAAGUACAAUGAAAAGAAGAAUUCAAUCCAGAAUCUCUUGCUAGAGUUUCUGGGAGAAUGUUGGUAACCCCAGGAAGAGACAUGGAGGAUUUGGGUGAAGUUGCUUUACCCAAACGGUGCAAAGGCUGUGGUUAUGGAGGGUCAGAGCCACAAACUCCAGAAAAGAGGUAAGAAACACAAGUGAGAGAGGCUUCUGCUGUUAGCUGGGCACCUACAGUGUGCACACAAUAAUCUCAUUUUCGUUUUUCUUUACAGCAGCCUUGUAAAAUGUGUGUGGGCAGCUCUGAGACCUUGGGCAAGUCAUCAAUUUCCUCAUUUGUAACAAGUGAUUUAUGGAAAGCAACUGGUACAUGGUGAAUGCUCCAGAAGUAGUAGUAACUUUACUGAUAUCAUUCCCUUUUUGCUUGAAGCUCUAAAAAGUAACACAUCUCACUGUCCCCACUCUGUUAUACCAGAUGCCUCUCCAAAGGAUGAGAGGGGUCAAGUCAGACUCCUUGGAUAGAGAAAAGGAAAUGGACAUGGAGAAGCAGGUGAU
This 1026-nucleotide long non-coding RNA is filed under the name Ursus maritimus (polar bear). RNAcentral's name for it is "lncRNA (ENSUMAG00000007027.1)". The record is from RNAcentral. Lineage: Eukaryota; Metazoa; Chordata; Mammalia; Carnivora; Ursidae.